UCCUCGUUAGUAUAGUGGUGAGUAUCCUCGCCUGUCACGCGGGAGCACUGGGUUCGAUUCCCCGAUGGGGAG
This 72-nucleotide transfer RNA is filed under the name Xiphophorus maculatus (southern platyfish). It matches the Rfam family "tRNA". From Rfam's summary of the family: Transfer RNA (tRNA) molecules are approximately 80 nucleotides in length. Their secondary structure includes four short double-helical elements and three loops (D, anti-codon, and T loops). The record is from Rfam by way of RNAcentral. Lineage: Eukaryota; Metazoa; Chordata; Actinopteri; Cyprinodontiformes; Poeciliidae.